RNAcentral lists this ribosomal RNA (2364 nucleotides) under Triticum aestivum (bread wheat). Its description in RNAcentral is "partial small subunit ribosomal RNA". The record is from RNAcentral. Lineage: Eukaryota; Viridiplantae; Streptophyta; Magnoliopsida; Poales; Poaceae.
CUCAUUUGUUUGUUUCGUUUCAUUUCCGCCCGCGGUGGAGGUGGGUGCGGUGUGUAUCUAGAGAGAGAGAGAGGCAGAGAACGAAACGGAGAUCAGCAGCGGGUCAGCGACGGCGUGACGAGGCCGAGGUCGAGCUGCGUCCUGCCUCGUAGGCCCCGUGGACGGAAGAGGUGGGGAGCACGGCGGUAGGGGACGGUCGACGAUUCUAGACUGAGUGCCGCGGCCGUUCCAACACCGCAGUGCCUCUACGUCUCCGUCCCCGCGGUGUACCUCGCCAGGCCGAGGUUCGCCCGCGAUCUGGGACCGCCGUCACCCCCGCCGCCGCCGCCGCCGCUGCUGCUGCUUGCACUAGGAUUUGCCGGCGCGCAGGGCCGGGAGCGGUCACAGUAACAUCUUCGAGAGUUCAACCUGUCAAACGUCUUCGAAACAAGUAGGGAACUCGGCUAAGAGGCUGCUCAACAGUCGCUUCUUCAUCUCGCACGAAAUCGGUUUAACCCCGGACGUCGUCGUGGACGAUCUUAACUUCCCUCCUGGAGAGGGUUUUCUUAACUUCCGGGAUUACCGUCAUUAGAGGUCGAAGUUAAAGCCUCAUCUAAUCGUGAGGGUGAGAAAUGACCUCCUUUUCACCUUCCGCUCGUCCCUCGUAGUUAUGUACAACACGACAACCUACGUUUGUGACCUGUACAGCAAUGAAGUCCUGGGCUCAGUGAACGUUUUAACCUACAAGAACACGAGCUCCCACUAAAAUUAUUUCUCUUCCUACUCCUAACCUGACUUCUCCUUAAACUCUCGGUGUAACACUUUCUUGCACUUCCCUUCUCCGGAGAAAAUUUGCCACUAUAGGUACACUGUGAAUUUCUUCCGCAUCCCUGGUAUCCUCUCGAAUAGAAGUGGCUGUUAAGGUCGACCUAUUCCUCGUCUUUUAAGUCUGAACCCUACUCCCAGAGCAGUCCUAAAACACUUCCUUAAGCAUAGUUUCUCCGCUUCUGUCUCCGAAAAUGACACUUUCUAGUGUCUCCUCUUAAUAUGUUCUUUGUAAUGGGAGGACGUGAAUUCCUACUACAAACCUCUAACCUUUUCUAACCUUUCCUGCCACGUAAGGUGCCCUUUGAUUUGAGUUUGCCUUAGAUAUGUCAACUUGUAAAAGAAGUUGAAGAACAAUUUCUAGUUGUCUUCAAUUCUUCAUAGGAACCGUGACCAUACAGUUUAUUCUACACCCUUUCAGAACAACUUGUACGCUUUUGAACGCAAGACUCACCGUUCGUAAUAUAUAUAAUGAGGUUCCUAUGUCGUUCACAACCACGUUAUAAGUUAUUGUAUAUACUCAAGUGACCAAACUAACGACUACUAGUCAAAUAAAGUUGCCUUUUAGAAUGACUUUUGGUCUCCCACAAACGCCUAUGUAACCACUUCGUUCGUAUACUACUAACCUAGUUGCAAUAUCUUAUACUACCGUUCCCUAACAACUUUAAAUUCGUCUUUUUCUUUAGACAGUGUUGUUCUUCACUACGACGUUUAUAGAGAUGUUCGAUGUGAAGAAUACUAAGUCGCGUGAGAGUCUUUGUUAACCGUGCUCCUGUACGGUUACGGUUAUAACUCGCUAGAGAGUACUCGUCAUGCUCAUUUCUUCUCUGUUCUUAACGUAGGUUGCCCUUGGUCCAUCGUUAUAUACGUCGGUUACGAGUCCUGUAGAGUGGUUCAUAAUGGUACGUUAUACCGUACUCAAGUAACUAGGGACUUCCGGUCAAGUUACCGAGAAGGUAGGUUUGAGUUCGUAGUUCUUCGAGGUUGUACGAUCGUAAACCUGGUGGUGGUGUCGUCGUCGUCUUGAAGCUUAAGAGUCGUGAACCAGACAGGUACGUUAGGGGUCGAGGAUUAGGAAAACUACUGACCGGGCCUGCCAACGUCCUCUUGGCGCCACCGCAACUACUGAAGGACUACCUCCUCUAAUCUCACUCUUCGGUACUGUAUGACCUCUUACUUCUUCUCUACGUUGUAUACGACGCGUAAGAAUCGACGCCCCGUCGUCGUUUGUACUUAUUACAUCUACCGAAAUGGAGGAUGGGAAGAGGACGUGGCCACCGGAAGUUGAAACUCCUACUAGCACGAGGGAGUAGGCCAUUCCGACAACAACCCACCGAAUUCUAAUUCCGACGAUACGCCACCCCGUAGAAGCAGUCCUUCUUUCGUCGGCUCUCUUCUCGAGUCGAACAACUCGACCUACUGAUCCCCUAUGCCGACACCCCCUUGAACUUCGGCAAGUAAACAACCUCUAACCUUUGACUUUUAAUAGUGGCUUUUGAAGAGCUGUAACAUGUAAUUUUGUACGUAACCUUCUUCGAAAACCACGCAGAUACACAAAAC